This 941-nucleotide long non-coding RNA is filed under the name Monodelphis domestica (gray short-tailed opossum). RNAcentral's name for it is "lncRNA (ENSMODG00000036040.2)". The record is from RNAcentral. Lineage: Eukaryota; Metazoa; Chordata; Mammalia; Didelphimorphia; Didelphidae.
UCAAAAGAACGAAACCAGGAGACUUGACAUGCUGUAAGCAUAGCUAUCCAUUUCAAACAGCUACAAGGAAGACUUAUUUGCACAUAAUUACUAUUUCAAGAUAAUUUCUCUUGAUCCUGACACCGCAAGGCUGGAAAAGAUACUGUACAAGGGAGCUGAGGUUAAUAUAUAUAUAUAUAUAUAUAUAUACAUAUAUGCAUAUAUACACAAAACAUACAUAUGUGUCAAGGGAAGGAAUGAAUGUAGGAUAAAAGAUGACAGAAACUUCUUGGGAUUGGGAGGAGAAGCCUGGAGAACUGGAAUUUCUAGGAAGGAAGAGGGGCAGAAGAGCUCUGGAGUAUGGACAACCAGCAGAUUACAUAUGAAGGGUAUGAAUUGAAUAUAAUCAUUGACAGUUGGAACCUUGUUUGUAUCACUGACUUGUUGAAGGAAUUAUUCUCCUAGACAGAAUUUUGCUAUUUCUUAGUCCUUUACUGAAUUUAUCCCCCCCUCUUCAUCCCCCUUUUUCUGUCCUCUGCCUCAUGGCUACCUGGUGAUCAGUCCUCACAUCUUUUGGUAUGUUUUGAUGGCUUUACUUAACAUCUAUAAUUUCAUAAUGGGAUUUUUUCCAGAAUAAGAUAAUCUGGCAUUUCAUUGAAUUCUUAAUGAGUAUUUACUAUAUGAUUUUAGACUGUGAAAUAGAAAAGUGCAAAAGGGAACCUAUGAACCAAAGAUAAACUUCAGUCUGUAUCAUAUGAAGCUUAUUCUUUCAAAGAGGGCUUUUGUUUGUUGUUUGUUUUUAAUAAGGUUUUAGCUUCUAGUCAGAAGUGUCAGAAAGCGUCCUGAUUUUUUAAAAUAGCUAAUCCACCUUUAACAUAGUGGACUUUUUAAUUGUAAUUUCAAAGACUUUGGGAAAAGUGAUUCAUCACUGGGUGUCAAAAUAUUUUAUGUACAACUUUGAU